GACGAACGCUGGCGGCGUGCCUAAUACAUGCAAGUUGAGCGAUGAAGAUUGGUGCUUGCACCAAUUUGAAGAGCAGCGAACGGGUGAGUAACGCGUGGGGAAUCUGCCUUUGAGCGGGGGACAACAUUUGGAAACGAAUGCUAAUACCGCAUAACAACUUUAAACAUAAGUUUUAAGUUUGAAAGAUGCAAUUGCAUCACUCAAAGAUGAUCCCGCGUUGUAUUAGCUAGUUGGUGAGGUAAAGGCUCACCAAGGCGAUGAUACAUAGCCGACCUGAGAGGAGGAACAGACACAAGGGAAAUGAGAAACGGUACAGAAACAUACGGGAGGAAGCAGUGGGGAAUAGUGGAAAAGGGGAGCAAGCCUGAUCCAGCCAUGACGCGUGAGGGAAGAAGGUAUGCGGAGUGUAAACCACUUUGGGUAGGGAGGAAAAGAAGAAAGGUAAUAACGGGCUGUAAUGAAGGGACCAAAAGAAUAAGAAAAGGAUAACUUCGUG
This 496-nucleotide ribosomal RNA is filed under the name uncultured bacterium. RNAcentral describes it as "partial 16S ribosomal RNA". It matches the Rfam family "Bacterial small subunit ribosomal RNA", at positions 28 to 507 of the family's 1533-position model. The record is from RNAcentral.